AACCCCCUGAGAUUUCACGUUAAAAAGUCUUUUUUUUACCAACACAUCUUAAACGGGAUAUUUACUCCGAUUGUGGCGUAUAAGCCUCCUUUCCUUCGGGAAUGUCAGUGGACAUAUAAAGCAAUUGGGAAAUAACCCACCUGCUGAAGCAGGUAGAAACUCGACUUUUCAAUGACGGCUAUCUCGGGGUAUUU
Molecule: non-coding RNA, 194 nt
Filed under: Clostridia bacterium
Lineage: Bacteria; Bacillati; Bacillota; Clostridia
Also listed under: 1 other name
Description: 6S RNA
Rfam family: 6S / SsrS RNA
About the family: E. coli 6S RNA was the first non coding RNA to be sequenced, but its function was unknown until recently. It consists of 184 nucleotides that fold into an extended hairpin structure with a large single-stranded internal bulge. The 6S RNA specifically associates with RNA polymerase holoenzyme containing the sigma70 specificity factor.
Source: RNAcentral